AAGUCGUAACAAGGUUUCCGUAGGUGAACCUGCGGAAGGAUCAUUAAUGAAAUAUCAGAAGUUGUUGCUGACCUUUCGAGGUACUGUGCACGCUUCAUUUUCAUCCACACACACCUGUGCACUACUUUAUCAAUUUGAAGGGAGUAAUCCCUCUCAAGUUGUAAUUUACACACAUGUUAAAACUUAUAGAACGUCAUGUUUAUAAUAAAACAUAACAACUUUCAACAACGGAUCUCUUGGCUCUC
This 245-nucleotide unclassified non-coding RNA is filed under the name air metagenome. RNAcentral's name for it is "partial contains small subunit ribosomal RNA, internal transcribed spacer 1, and 5.8S ribosomal RNA". The stretch from base 1 to 46 matches the Rfam family "Eukaryotic small subunit ribosomal RNA", at positions 1786 to 1831 of the family's 1831-position model. The record is from RNAcentral.